Molecule: ribosomal RNA, 253 nt
Filed under: uncultured bacterium
Lineage: Bacteria
Description: partial 16S ribosomal RNA
Rfam family: Bacterial small subunit ribosomal RNA
Source: RNAcentral
UACGGAGGGGACUAGCGUUGUCCGGAAUCACUGGGCGUAAAGCGCACGUAGGCGGCAUUGCAAGUCGGAUGUGAAAUCCCUCGGCUUAACCAAGGAAGUGCAUCCGAAACUGCAGUGCUUGAGUACUUAAGAGGAUCGCGGAAUUCCCGGUGUAGAGGUGAAAUUCGUAGAUAUCGGGAGGAACACCAGUGGCGAAGGCGGCGAUCUGGGAAGAUACUGACGCUGAGGUGCGAAAGCGUGGGGAGCAAACAGG